This 109-nucleotide ribosomal RNA is filed under the name Xenopus laevis (African clawed frog). Lineage: Eukaryota; Metazoa; Chordata; Amphibia; Anura; Pipidae. The record is from RNAcentral.
ACCUAAGGCCACACCACCCUGAAAGUGUCUGAUCUCAGAAGCAAUCCAGGGCCGGGCCUGGUUAGUACUUGGAUGGGAGACCGCCCGGGAAUACCAGGUGUCAUAGAAU